UACGGGGGGAGCAAGCGUUGUUCGGAUUUACUGGGCGUAAAGGGCGCGUAGGCGGCCUCCGCAAGUCAGUUGUGAAAUCUCCGAGCUUAACUCGGAAAGGUCAACGGAUACUGCGGGGCUAGAGUGCGGAAGGGGCAACUGGAAUUCUCGGUGUAGCGGUGAAAUGCGUAGAUAUCGAGAGGAACACCUGCGGCGAAGGCGGGUUGCUGGGCUGAUACUGACGCUGAGGCGCGAAAGCCAGGGGAGCGAACGGG
Molecule: ribosomal RNA, 254 nt
Filed under: uncultured bacterium
Lineage: Bacteria
Description: partial 16S ribosomal RNA
Rfam family: Bacterial small subunit ribosomal RNA
Source: RNAcentral